Haliotis rufescens (red abalone) is the source of this 2406-nucleotide long non-coding RNA. RefSeq lists it as uncharacterized. The transcript is spliced from 3 exons. The record is from RefSeq and is a predicted model, not a curated record. Lineage: Eukaryota; Metazoa; Mollusca; Gastropoda; Lepetellida; Haliotidae.
GAGUACCUGUCAGGUUAACUGGAGAUGUCAAAAUAGUAUCGGAAUGCGGGAGGUACAAAGAGGACAGUAUGGGUACGAUGCAAUGACAAAAUCCUAAGAACCUACGCUAAGUGAUUGUACCUAGCUACAUGCACAAGAUGUCUCGACAGUCGUGGCCUGAACUUGUUGGGAAGCCAUGGAAAGAAGCUGAAGAAGCUAUACGGAGGGAUUACCCAAAUGUAUCGAUUCAAGUGCUGCCUGAGAACUCCAGUGUGAACCGAGAUGUCCGACCGGACCGAGUGCGGAUCAUCAUGAAGGGAGACGGUACCGUGGCCAAGCCUCCGCACAUUGGAUAGGACUGAGAUGGAGAAGCUGAACCCGAUUCAGUUACAAGAUUCAAGUCCUACUUUCAUCUCUAUCCGGAUCCCAAUGUGAAGGGAGACGGUACCGUGCCCAAGCCUCCGCACAUUGGCUAGGACUGAGAUGGAGAAGCUGAACCCGAUUAAUUUACAAGAUUCAAGUCCUACUUUCAUCUCUAUCCGGAUCCCAAUGUGAAGGGAGAUGGUACCGUGGCAAAGCCUCCACACAUUGGAUAGGACUGAGAUGGAGAAGCUGAACCCGAUUAAUUUACAAGAUUCAAGUCCUACUUUCAUCUCUAUCCGGAUCCCAAUGUGAAGGGAGAUGGUACCGUGGCCAAGCCUCCGCACAUUGGAUAGGACUGAGAUGGAGAAGCUGAACCCGAUUAAUUUACAAGAUUAAUCAAAAGGUGAUUAAUCCAUUCACCUGAUGAAGGAGUAAGCAUAUACUCCGAAAUGUUGUGUUCCUCAUAACAAAGAAGUUGACAUCCAUAUAUUCUCUUCCUUAUGUGUAUCACUUCUAAAUGCCUUUCAAAGACCUGAAGAUUAACCAAUCCUACUUUCAUCUUUAUCAGGAUUCCAAUGUGAAGGGACAUGGCAACGUGGCUCAGCCUUUGCACAUUGGAUGAGAUGGAGAUGGAGAUGGAGAACGUGAACCGAUUCAUCUUUUUAUUUAUCCGAUGCACAUUAAAAAAUGACAGGAUCCUUUUGUCUCUGCCUGUCUUGUUUCAGUUGAAUAAAGAUGCAUGUCUUGCAAGACUUGAAGCAAGUUGUAUGAAAGAGAUAUAUGUCAUGCCACCAGUAUUUAUGUGUAUGGGUUGUGAGAUUAUAACCCAGGACAAAUAUAAGACUUUUUGUGCCUCUGGAAACAUGUUGUGUUGUAUGUUUGAAAGAGCCUGAUGUUGAUUCUGCUUAUCAUUGACCAGUAACCAUUCUCUAUAGACUAUAGACAUAGUAGUAACUUCAUAUUCUAAUACUGGUAUGCAUGGUUACAAGACAAAUACUCAUGUAUGUAGUUAUGUUGUUGAAAUAUUAUUUCGUGGAUUUGUUUGUUUUUUGUGUUUCUAAUUUUAUAGGCAAGAAUGCCAAAAUACACAGAUGCAGGAGGCUAAUAAGAUUAACAAAGACACCAACAUGAAGACACUAGCAAAAAGUGUUUCCUGAUCAUGAAUCUCCACGUUUGUGUUAUAAUUUUUUUAUUAUUUCAUACUUUAAAGUUUACACUGUCAUCUUGAUGAUUGGCUGAAUGGCUACACCUGAACUGAUACAUGUAUUUGGAGUUCACACACCUGUGAAUGGACAGAAAAGUUCACACAAUGUGAACAAUUUUUGUGUGAAAUUGAACGUGAACUUUUGCCGGAACUACUUUCUUAGACGCUCGCAAGCUACAAUGUUCACAGAGUUUUACCACCUCUUUUAAGUCGUUUACACUUAGCUGAUGUAAAGUUCUUAAUAAGAUUUUCCUAACAUUCAGGAAAAUGUCGUAUUUAAUAGAAGAAACAAAUAUUUGUUCAUUGCUUCUAAAAAUUGUUGAUGUGUAAUGGUAGAAGUCUUGGUCAUUCAAUGUCGACUCCUCCCCGAGUAUUAUUCUGAAGUGAUGCCAGUGUGUUCAGUAUGUCUACGUCUUCUCUGCCAAACCACAUUAUUCUUUGUUCUGUACUUUUGUAAGGUGGAUGGAGAAUGGUCUUUCCUGAAGAUGUCAAGGAUGUCCAGAGUAUGUAACUUUUUCUAAGAUAUAUUACGUCAUUUACAUAUAAACAAACUAACUUCCAAAUUGAAGAAAGGCUGUUUGUGUCCAUUCAAUUGUGCUAGGCACUUAAUAACUGCCAUGCCAAUUCACUUUUUACAAUAGAGGCCUAUUGGGAAAUCCCUCAGUUUUUAUAGGUUUGCAGUGAGUAAUUAAUAGUUAAUUUUAUGUUUUAAUCAUAUAUUGAUAAAAUGUUUAUCUGUUAACAAACCUAAUACCAAAUUCGACGUAAUAAGCGCCCCGCUCUAAUAAGCGCCCAUGGUGAUAUUUGCUAAUAUAUUGGCUCGUGAACAAUCCCAAUUAGCACCCUUUCUGAUUGAUCAA